CAUUCAGAUAUUUUAUGUAUUCAAUUGUUUGUCAUAGAUGACAUUUCGGUUAUUUUUCUAGGUAAAUCUGUAACUUUGCAGCUGGAACAAGAGCCGCAUCUGUGGAAUCUCUUCGUCUGUAGCCAUGUUGAAGGCUAGAUUAUACUUGCUGCAUCCAGCACCACAAAAUUAAAAACAUGAAAAAAAGGAGUGUGUCUGCUAGGGAAAGGGGGGGAAGGAGGUUCUUCUGAAAAAAAAGUGUGUCCUCUGCAUUUUCGAAAAAUACUAACAUAUUUGAUAAUGUUCUCACAUAAAAUAUGUGGGAUUUGAGCUCUGAAAAACCCGGACAGCUCAGAGCAGUUGCAAAAAAAGAGAAACAUAGGGAAAAGCACCGAAUUAGGAAAAACCAUUGAAAAACACCUGUCAGGAAAAAAACUCAAAAAGAAACCUACAAUCCUCUCUUAGUAAAUCAGGGCAAAUAAUGUUUUAGAAUGCAAAAUUUAUUGUUCUAUAUCCUCUACAAUUUUGAUUGAAGUCUGUUGAUUGAUUUCUGAAUAAA
Molecule: long non-coding RNA, 538 nt
Organism: Hyla sarda
Lineage: Eukaryota; Metazoa; Chordata; Amphibia; Anura; Hylidae
Exons: 3
Source: RefSeq, a predicted model, not a curated record